CCUACGGUGUGCUGCAGUGGGGAAUAUUGGACAAUGGGCGAAAGCCUGAUCCAGCCAUGCCGCGUGUGUGAAGAAGGCCUUCGGGUUGUAAAGCACUUUCAGUGGGGAAGAAAGCCUUGGGGCUAAUACCCUCGAGGAAGGACAUCACCCACAGAAGAAGCACCGGCUAACUCCGUGCCAGCAGCCGCGGUAAUACGGAGGGUGCGAGCGUUAAUCGGAAUUACUGGGCGUAAAGCGCGCGUAGGCGGUCUGAUAAGCCGGUUGUGAAAGCCCCGGGCUCAACCUGGGAACGGCAUCCGGAACUGUCAGGCUAGAGUGCAGGAGAGGAAGGUAGAAUUCCCGGUGUAGCAGUGAAAUGCGUAGAGAUCGGGAGGAAUACCAGUGGCGAAGGCGGCCUUCUGGACUGACACUGACGCUGAGGUGCGAAAGCGUGGGUAGCAAACAGGAUUAGAUACCCGAGUAGUC
This 465-nucleotide ribosomal RNA is filed under the name Vreelandella stevensii. Its description in RNAcentral is "partial 16S ribosomal RNA". It matches the Rfam family "Bacterial small subunit ribosomal RNA", at positions 338 to 795 of the family's 1533-position model. Lineage: Bacteria; Pseudomonadati; Pseudomonadota; Gammaproteobacteria; Oceanospirillales; Halomonadaceae. The record is from RNAcentral.